ACCCUCAAAAUUCUGGGGUUACGUACUCUCGUUUCCCCUCCCUCCUUUAUUUAUCAUCUUGUUCCAGUGGCGGAAUCAAUCAUUUUCCGAUCAAUGCUCAACCUUCUCCGUCAUCAUCGUCAGUAUCUUCUAGUAAGUAGAAAUUUAGCAGCCAGCACUGCCUUUCUAAGGGAUACACUCUGUAGAAGAAGGCACGAGAAGAGUGGAUUGCUACCCUAAGUUAUAUCUUAUAAAUCUGCCUGAAAAUUGAAGUAUGAAGGACAAAUCUGACGUAUGGAAGCUGGAUCUGCAUGGUUUGGCAUGUUUCAAGAGCUGUUUACGCCUUAAAGAGCAUCUUUGAAGGAUGGAGACGCAGAUCUCAGUACAUUAUUCUAUAAAUCCCAGUAUACUUGUUGAACGAAAACUUGGAUCUUCAACUGAUUCUAUUACUCGCUUCUGCAUGGAGAAAAAGCCUGGCUGAGCAGGAAAUAACUUUGUGAAGCCCAGAAGUAUUACAUGUUACUUAUAACAGGGAUACGCUCUGUAGAAGAAGGCACAAGAAGAGUGGAUUGCUACCCUAAGUUAUUUCUUAUAAAUCUGCCUGAAAAUUGAAGUAUGAAGGACAAAUCUGACGUAUGGAAGCUGGAUCUGCAUGGUUUGGCAUGUUUCAAGAGCUGUUUACGCCUUAAAGAGCAUCUUUGAAGGAUGGAGACGCAGAUCUCAGUACAUUAUUCUAUAAUUCCCAGUAUAUUUGUUGAGCGGAAACUUUGAUCUUCAACUGAUUCUAUUACUCGCUUCUGCAUGGAGAAAAAGCCUGGCUGAGCAGGAAAUAACUUUUUGAAGCCCAGAAGUAUUACAUGUUACUUAUAACAGGGAAGUAGAUGCUGUACAGUUUCCAGAUGCUAUCUGGGCCUGAGUUGCUUCCGUACAUUUAGCGGCCCCUCAAAGCUACAGAGUACAACUUCUCCAUUGUGUUAUUGCGAGGGACAGUUUGAAAGUAUAUUUGAUUCCUGCAUUGCCUAUACUGGACCAGGAAAACACUGUAAGGGAUUGUCUAUCCACUUUCCUUGUUCUGCUUUCACGGGUACUUCUCAGUGUUCAGCGCAUGGUUUCUCAAAUUUGCAAGUCUCAUCAAGGCCCUAGGUGUUUUCCUUGAUUCUUCUGCAUCAAUACAUCAUAUUCUGCACUCUAGGCUCCUUUUCAGUUUCAUCGCUGUCUGCUUCAUCUGUUCAUCCUUCUAUGAUGGGAUCUCCUUCCGAGCUGGUUCAUCUAAGAAGUUUCACCAUGUAAUUGGUCUGGUAUAAGAUGUGUCGGUUCCAAAGUUCAUGAGGUUGAUUUAACAUGCAGUCAGUUUCCACUACAGCUUCCGUCUCCAAGCCUCCUUGGGGAACUCAGAUCACUGAAGCAUCUUAAUGUCAGCUACCGUGCCUUCGCAAGCUCUCUUCCUGCAAAUAUAUGGAAUAUGUAGAAUUUAGAGUCUCUAGACUAGGGUGGUAACAGAUUGUUGGGACUAUACCUUCGUCUUUGUCUAACCUUAAAAAAUGCUCAGAGAACUAAUACUUGAUGAAAAUAGCUUCACUGGAAGCUUCCACAGUUUGAGAACUUGGAAAACUCAUCGAACUGUCAGCACGCGACAACUCAUUUUCUGGGAAGCUUCCUCCAGGGAUUGGGAAUCUUCAGAAUUUGGUGUCAGUAAACAUGAGCAUGAACCUCUUCUCCGGGAAUAUGCCUCCAAGCAUCGGAAAUCUUACAAGGCUUCUAUACUUGGAUGUUAGUGGUAACAAAUUCAUUGGAGUAAUUCUUCAAUAGCUUGGAAACUUGGUACAGCUCAGAAAACUCGAUCUUCCGAGGAACUUACUGGAAGGACCCAUACCUUUGGAAAUAGGAAGAAUGUCUGUCCUACAAUCUCUGAUAUGGGGAACAAUAAUCUCCUUGGAGAACUACUGAAAACCAUGUGCUUGUUCUGGAGAAUUGUCAACUUAUGGGGGACACUUCCAAAUGAACUUUUCUACUUGAGAAACUUGACAUUAUUCAACAUAGUCCAAAACAGUUUCGAAGGAGAAAUUCUUUCCAGUUUUUGUGAAUUGUCCUAUCUAAUUUACCUUGUAGCAGCAAAAUCAGGGCUGAGUUGAAGAAUUUCGGGGAGAUUGGGAAGCUGCAAGAAGUUAAAGAUUCUCAAUCUGUCUUUCAACUUUCUUUCUGGGGCUUUACCAGAGGUUAUGGAGCUUGAAUCGCUCAGUUCACUUGUGCUUGAUUCUAACCGUUAAUCAGGACCAAUUCCCAGUUGGAUUUCAAAUUGGGCAGAAGGGAACUCAAUAAUACUGAGCAGGAACCAGUUUAAUGAGUCUUUGCCACUACUAUAUCUACUGUACCUGACCAGAUGUGACGCCACUUCAGACCAGCUUUCUGGUGAGACUUGGAAGAAAUAUGCCAUGAAGCUCAGAGGCAGUAUUCAGAAUAUUUGGCCUGCACAUAUUUGCAGUUGAUUGGGAACAAACUCUUUGGUGAAAUACCAGGUCAUCUAUGUGAGCUUCAGCUAGUUACACUGGAAUAAUUGCACAAUAAACUUUCUGGCAGACUUCCUGGGUGAACUUUGGAAAUCACAGACUCUUGUAGAGAUCUCUUUCAGCAACAAUUUUCUUGUGGGUCACCCAAUCAUCACCCACUUGAGUGGAAAGCCUCAUUCCCAAGAUGUUCGCUGUCUUCUGAGCUUCGAUUCCUCCGUGGUCAAGCAGCUCUCCCCAACAGCUGUGAUAAGCAACCUCAAUGCAAGAUGGGAGUACGACCCGGAGAUUGCCCUUGGGGUUGGCCUUUGGUAUAACUUGAUGUUUAGUGAUUUAGCCCCAGCUGACACUGGCUUCAAAAUUACAUUUUAUUAUUUGCUUCUAGUGAGGCAAAGAGUCGCCGUGAAUUAAAAGUGACAGUAUUUUAUUUCAAAAUGGAGCAAGUCAAUUAAUGGUAUGAGUCGCUUUUAGAGAAAUCACUUGGGUGUAGGUGAAAGUCGGCUUCUGAUGUUGCUGGUUGUUUCUUUGUAUGCAUCAAACUUGUUUCUUUGUAUGCAUCAAACUCAUUUUGAACGGAAAAGUAUUGGUAUGUGAAAUGAACUACUAGUUAACAAUC
Molecule: long non-coding RNA, 3099 nt
Organism: Papaver somniferum (opium poppy)
Lineage: Eukaryota; Viridiplantae; Streptophyta; Magnoliopsida; Ranunculales; Papaveraceae
Exons: 5
Source: RefSeq, a predicted model, not a curated record